RNAcentral lists this ribosomal RNA (253 nucleotides) under uncultured bacterium. RNAcentral's name for it is "partial 16S ribosomal RNA". It matches the Rfam family "Bacterial small subunit ribosomal RNA", at positions 524 to 776 of the family's 1533-position model. The record is from RNAcentral.
UACGUAGGGGGCAAGCGUUGUCCGGAAUUAUUGGGCGUAAAGGGCGCGUAGGCGGCCAUUCAAGUGACGGGUGAAAUCCCUCGGCUUAACCGAGGAACUGCCUGUCAGACUGGAUGGCUUGAGACCGGGAGAGGUGAGUGGAAUUCCCAGUGUAGCGGUGAAAUGCGUAGAUAUUGGGAGGAACACCAGUGGCGAAGGCGGCUCACUGGACCGGAACUGACGCUGAGGCGCGAAAGCGUGGGGAGCAAACAGG